Molecule: ribosomal RNA, 400 nt
Filed under: uncultured bacterium
Lineage: Bacteria
Description: bacterial SSU rRNA
Rfam family: Bacterial small subunit ribosomal RNA
Source: RNAcentral
UGAGGAAUAUUGGUCAAUGGGCGAGAGCCUGAACCAGCCAUCCCGCGUGCAGGAAGACGGCCCUAUGGGUUGUAAACUGCUUUUGCGCAUGAAGAAUGUUACCGACGUGUCGGUAAGUGACGGUAAUGCGUGAAUAAGCAUCGGCUAACUCCGUGCCAGCAGCCGCGGUAAUACGGAGGAUGCAAGCGUUAUCCGGAUUUAUUGGGUUUAAAGGGUGCGUAGGCGGCCUUGUAAGUCAGUGGUGAAAACCUGCAGCUCAACUGUAGGCGUGCCAAUGAAACUGUGAGGCUUGAGUGACGUUGAGGCAGGCGGAAUGUGUAGUGUAGCGGUGAAAUGCUUAGAUAUUACACAGAACACCGAUUGCGUAGGCAGCUUGCUAAAGGUUAACUGACGCUGAUGC